RNAcentral lists this non-coding RNA (22 nucleotides) under Arabidopsis thaliana (thale cress). The record is from RNAcentral. Lineage: Eukaryota; Viridiplantae; Streptophyta; Magnoliopsida; Brassicales; Brassicaceae.
UGACAAAGAUGAUGUCGUUGGU